This 129-nucleotide ribosomal RNA is filed under the name Phyllanthus salviifolius. Its description in RNAcentral is "partial 5.8S ribosomal RNA". It matches the Rfam family "5.8S ribosomal RNA", at positions 31 to 154 of the family's 154-position model. From Rfam's summary of the family: 5.8S ribosomal RNA (5.8S rRNA) is a component of the large subunit of the eukaryotic ribosome. Lineage: Eukaryota; Viridiplantae; Streptophyta; Magnoliopsida; Malpighiales; Phyllanthaceae. The record is from RNAcentral.
CAUCGAUGAAGAACGCAGCGAAAUGCGAUACUUGGUGUGAAUUGCAGAAUCCCGUGAACCAUCGAGUCUUUGAACGCAAGUUGCGCCCAAGGCCUUCGGGUUGAGGGCACGUCUGCCUGGGUGUCACGC